AGCUCCAAUAGCGUAUAUUAACGUUGUUGCAGUUAAAAAGCUCGUAGUUGAAUUGAAGUGAACUUGGGUUGAUGUGAUCUUCGGAUGACAUGAAUCAAAGUUGACUCUUUCCAAAGUCAAUACAUUGGUAUUCAUUUAUCUUUGUAUUGUGUUUGGUCAUUUACUGUGAGAAAAUUAGAGUGUUCAAAGCAGACGUUUGUUUGAAUACAUUAGCAUGGAAUAAUCAUAUAUGGCUUUCAUGUUGAUUUGAUUGGUUUGAAUAUGGAAGCAAGAUUAAAAGGGACAGUUGGGGGUAUUCAUAUUCAAUAGUCAGAGGUGAAAUUCUGGGAUUUAUGGAAGAUGAACAAGUGCGAAAGCAUUUACCAAGGAUGUUUUCA
RNAcentral lists this ribosomal RNA (377 nucleotides) under Blastocystis hominis. RNAcentral's name for it is "SSU rRNA". It matches the Rfam family "Eukaryotic small subunit ribosomal RNA", at positions 587 to 972 of the family's 1831-position model. The record is from RNAcentral. Lineage: Eukaryota; Bigyra; Opalinata; Blastocystidae.